RNAcentral lists this ribosomal RNA (253 nucleotides) under uncultured bacterium. RNAcentral describes it as "partial 16S ribosomal RNA". It matches the Rfam family "Bacterial small subunit ribosomal RNA", at positions 524 to 776 of the family's 1533-position model. The record is from RNAcentral.
UACGGAGGGAGCUAGCGUUGUUCGGAAUUACUGGGCGUAAAGCGCACGUAGGCGGCUAUUCAAGUCAGAGGUGAAAGCCCAGGGCUCAACCUUGGAACUGCCUUUGAAACUAGAUAGCUAGAAUCCUGGAGAGGCGAGUGGAAUUCCGAGUGUAGAGGUGAAAUUCGUAGAUAUUCGGAAGAACACCAGUGGCGAAGGCGACUCGCUGGACAGGCAUUGACGCUGAGGUGCGAAAGCGUGGGGAGCAAACAGG